UCCAGGGUGUAAACGCUGCUUGCUUGAUGUUAGUUGGGCUCUGAGCCCGAUUAGUGUCGGAGAGAAGUUGUUAAGCAAGCUGCCUGGGAAGUACGAUCGCAAGAUUGAAACUUAAAGGAAUUGGCGGGGGAGCACUGCAACGGGUGGAGCGUGCGGUUUAAUUGGAUUCAACGCCGGAAACCUUACCAGGGGAGACGGUUACAUGAAGGCCAGGCUGAUGACCUUGCCUGAUUUUCCGAGAGGUGGUGCAUGG
This 253-nucleotide ribosomal RNA is filed under the name uncultured bacterium. RNAcentral describes it as "partial 16S ribosomal RNA". It matches the Rfam family "Archaeal small subunit ribosomal RNA", at positions 745 to 997 of the family's 1478-position model. The record is from RNAcentral.